GCAAGUCGAGGGGUAACAGGGGUUGCUUGCAAUCCGCUGACGACCGGCGAACGGGUGCGUAACGCGUAUAGAAUCUGCCUUGUACAGGAGGAUAGCCUUUAGAAAUGAAGAUUAAUACUCCAUAAUACUGAUUUGUGGCAUCACAAUUUAGUUAAACAUUUAUGGGUACAAGAUGACUAUGCGUCCUAUUAGCUAGAUGGUAAGGUAACGGCUUACCAUGGCAACGAUAGGUAGGGGGUCUGAGAGGAUUAUC
This 253-nucleotide ribosomal RNA is filed under the name uncultured bacterium. Its description in RNAcentral is "partial 16S ribosomal RNA". It matches the Rfam family "Bacterial small subunit ribosomal RNA", at positions 57 to 305 of the family's 1533-position model. The record is from RNAcentral.